RNAcentral lists this ribosomal RNA (371 nucleotides) under uncultured bacterium. RNAcentral's name for it is "bacterial SSU rRNA". It matches the Rfam family "Bacterial small subunit ribosomal RNA", at positions 527 to 896 of the family's 1533-position model. The record is from RNAcentral.
GUAGGUGGCAAGCGUUGUCCGGAUUUAUUGGGCGUAAAGCGAGCGCAGGCGGAAGAAUAAGUCUGAUGUGAAAGCCCUCGGCUUAACCGAGGAACUGCAUCGGAAACUGUUUUUCUUGAGUGCAGAAGAGGAGAGUGGAACUCCAUGUGUAGCGGUGGAAUGCGUAGAUAUAUGGAAGAACACCAGUGGCGAAGGCGGCUCUCUGGUCUGCAGCUGACACUGAGGCUCGAAAGCAUGGGUAGCGAACAGGAUUAGAUACCCUGGUAGUCCAUGCCGUAAACGAUGAGUGCUAAGUGUUGGGAGGUUUCCGCCUCUCAGUGCUGCAGCUAACGCAUUAAGCACUCCGCCUGGGGAGUACGACCGCAAGGUUG